CAUGGCGUCAGAACGAACGCUGGUGGCGUGUCUUAUACAUGCAAGUCGAGCGAGGCAGCAAUGCCGAGCGGCGAACGGGUGAGUAACGCGUAAGCAAUCUGCCCCAUAUCAGGAAAUACCCGUGCCAACGCGCGGUUAAUGUCCAGGAGAGUGGCCCUCCGCAUGGAGGGUUGACUAGAGAUUUAUCGGUAUGGGAUGAGCUUGCGUCCGAUUAGCUAGUUGGCGGGGCAACGGCCCACCAAGGCGACGAUCGGUAGCCGGCCUGAGAGGGUGAUCGGCCACAUUGGGACUGAGAUACGGCCCAGACUCCUACGGGAGGCAGCAGUAGGGAAUAUUGCACAAUGGGGGAAACCCUGAUGCAGCAACGCCACGUGUGGGAAGAAGCAUUUCGGUGUGUAAACCACUGUCAUGAGGGAAUAAGGCCCGCCUUCGGACGGGAUUGAAUGUACCUUGAAAGGAAGCACCGGCAAACUUCGUGCCAGCAGCCGC
This 489-nucleotide ribosomal RNA is filed under the name uncultured bacterium. RNAcentral's name for it is "bacterial SSU rRNA". It matches the Rfam family "Bacterial small subunit ribosomal RNA", at positions 18 to 518 of the family's 1533-position model. The record is from RNAcentral.